This 23-nucleotide non-coding RNA is filed under the name Cricetulus griseus (Chinese hamster). The record is from RNAcentral. Lineage: Eukaryota; Metazoa; Chordata; Mammalia; Rodentia; Cricetidae.
AUGUCUCUGUGGCGCAAUCGGUU